Molecule: ribosomal RNA, 514 nt
Filed under: Catenaria anguillulae
Lineage: Eukaryota; Fungi; Blastocladiomycota; Blastocladiomycetes; Blastocladiales; Catenariaceae
Description: SSU rRNA
Rfam family: Eukaryotic small subunit ribosomal RNA
Source: RNAcentral
AUAUGCUUGUCUCAAAGAUUAAGCCAUGCAUGUCUAAGUUUAAGCAAACAAACAGUGAAACUGCGAAUGGCUCAUUAAAUCAGUUAUAAUCUAUUCGACGUCCUAAUUUAAUUACUACUCGGAUAACCGUGGUAAUUCUAGAGCUAAUACGUGCCUUGAAAGUCCUGACCUUUAUGGAAGGGAUGCAGUUAUUAGAUACAGAACCAAUCGGGGCAACCCGUUUUUUGGUGAUUCAUGAUAACCUUGCAGAUCGCAUGGCCUUGUGCUGGCGAUGGGUCGUUCGAAUUUCUGCCCUAUCAACUUUUGACGGUAGGAUAGAGGCCUACCGUGGUGAUAACGGGUAACGGGGAAUUAGGGUUCGAUUCCGGAGAGGGAGCCUGAGAAACGGCUACCACAUCCAAGGAAGGCAGCAGGCGCGCAAAUUACCCAAUCCUGAUACAGGGAGGUAGUGACAAUAAAUAACGAUGCGGGACUUUUUAGUCUUCGCAAUUGGAAUGAGUACAAUUUAAAUCCC